GACGAACGCUGGCGGCGUGCCUAAUACAUGCAAGUUGAGCGCUGAAGGUUGGUCCUUGUACCAACUGGAUGAGCAGCGAACGGGUGAGUAACGCGUGGGGAAUCUGCCUUUGAGCGGGGGACAACAUUUGGAAACGAAUGCUAAUACCGCAUAAAAACUUUAAACACAAGUUUUAAGUUUGAAAGAUGCAAUGGCAUCACUCAAAGAUGAUCCCGCGUUGUAUUAGCUAGUUGGUGAGGUAAAGGCUCACCAAGGCGAUGAUACAUAGCCGACCUGAGAGGGUGAUCGGCCACAUUGGGACUGAGACACGGCCCAAACUCCUACGGGAGGCAGCAGUAGGGAAUCUUCGGCAAUGGACGAAAGUCUGACCGAGCAACGCCGCGGGAGUGAAGAAGGGUUUCGGAUCGUAAAACUCUGUUGGUAGAGAAGAACGUUGGUGAGAGUGGAAAGCUCAUCAAGUGACGGUAACUACCCAGAAAGGGACGGCUAACUACGUG
Molecule: ribosomal RNA, 497 nt
Filed under: uncultured bacterium
Lineage: Bacteria
Description: partial 16S ribosomal RNA
Rfam family: Bacterial small subunit ribosomal RNA
Source: RNAcentral